RNAcentral lists this long non-coding RNA (342 nucleotides) under Vulpes vulpes (red fox). RNAcentral's name for it is "lncRNA (ENSVVUG00000019419.1)". The record is from RNAcentral. Lineage: Eukaryota; Metazoa; Chordata; Mammalia; Carnivora; Canidae.
GUGGUAACUGCCAAGUACUUCCCAUACUAGAUCUGGAACUGGAUCUCACCUUUCAUUUUAGGUGUUGUGUAUCCCUCUUCUAGACUGUGAAUCCUUAUCAUUAUCCAAGACUCCAGGAGAAGACCAUGAGUGCUGGGGAAGAGGGACUGAGGGAAUAACACAUCCAUGGGGACUGAAACUUUUAAAGCAGAAAUUGCAGGAGCUUCAGUUACACCAGGAUGAUUGGGAAGAGCCAAAGAGGUGGUGCCAUCAUGGUGACAAAGAUUUUACCUCCUAAAUUUUGCUUCUUGAGCUAGAAGUGAUAAGUUUCAAUAAAUAACAGAGAUCGUGAGUUAUAAGCCA